RNAcentral lists this ribosomal RNA (729 nucleotides) under uncultured Actinomycetes bacterium. RNAcentral's name for it is "bacterial SSU rRNA". It matches the Rfam family "Bacterial small subunit ribosomal RNA", at positions 28 to 771 of the family's 1533-position model. The record is from RNAcentral. Lineage: Bacteria; Bacillati; Actinomycetota; Actinomycetes.
GACGAACGCUGGCGGCGUGCUUAACACAUGCAAGUCGAGCGGAAAGGCCCUUUCGGGGGUACUCGAGCGGCGAACGGGUGAGUAACACGUGAGUAAUCUGCCCUGCGCUCUGGGAUAGCCACCGGAAACGGUGAUUAAUACCGGAUAGGACCACUUCACGCAUGUGAUGGUGGUGGAAAGUUUUUUCGGCGCAGGAUGUGCUCGCGGCCUAUCAGCUUGUUGGUGAGGUAACGGCUCACCAAGGCUUUGACGGGUAACUGGCCUGAGAGGGUGACCGGUCACACUGGGACUGAGACACGGCCCAGACUCCUACGGGAGGCAGCAGUGGGGAAUAUUGGACAAUGGGCGGAAGCCUGAUCCAGCAACGCCGCGUGAGGGAUGACGGCCUUCGGGUUGUAAACCUCUUUCAGUACCGACGAAGCGAAAGUGACGGUAGGUACAGAAGAAGGACCGGCCAACUACGUGCCAGCAGCCGCGGUAAUACGUAGGGUCCGAGCGUUGUCCGGAAUUAUUGGGCGUAAAGGGCUCGUAGGCGGUUUGUCGCGUCGGGAGUGAAAACACCGGGCUUAACUCGGUGCUUGCUUUCGAUACGGGCAGACUAGAGGUAUGCAGGGGAGAAUGGAAUUCCUGGUGUAGCGGUGAAAUGCGCAGAUAUCAGGAGGAACACCGGUGGCGAAGGCGGUUCUCUGGGCAUUACCUGACGCUGAGGAGCGAAAGUGUGGGGAGCGA